RNAcentral lists this ribosomal RNA (323 nucleotides) under uncultured eukaryote. RNAcentral's name for it is "partial 18S ribosomal RNA". It matches the Rfam family "Eukaryotic small subunit ribosomal RNA", at positions 1470 to 1796 of the family's 1831-position model. The record is from RNAcentral.
CCCUUAGAUGUUCUGGGCCGCACGCGCGCUGCACUGAUGCAUGCAACGAGUUCUAUCCUUGGCCGGAAGGCCUGGGUAAUCUGUGAACGUGCAUCGUGAUAGGGAUAGAUUAUUGCAAUUAUUAAUCUUGAACGAGGAAUUCCUAGUAAACGCAAGUCAUCAGCUUGCAUUGAUUACGUCCCUGCCCUUUGUACACACCGCCCGUCGCACCUACCGAUCGAAGGUAAUGAUGAGCCCUCAGGAUUGUGGCCUCGUCGCGUCAGCGUCUUGGCUGCGAGAAUCUGUGCAAAUCCCUACCUUUAGAGGAAGGUGAAGUCGUAACA